Molecule: ribosomal RNA, 253 nt
Filed under: uncultured bacterium
Lineage: Bacteria
Description: partial 16S ribosomal RNA
Rfam family: Bacterial small subunit ribosomal RNA
Source: RNAcentral
GACGUAGGAGGCGAGCGUUGUCCGGAUUCAUUGGGCGUAAAGAGCACGCAGGCGGUUUGGCAAGUCGGAUGUGAAAACCCGGAGCUCAACUCCGGACCUGCAUCCGAAACUGCCCGACUAGAGGUAGGUAGGGGAGAUCGGAAUUCCUGGUGUAGCGGUGAAAUGCGCAGAUAUCAGGAGGAACACCGGUGGCGAAGGCGGAUCUCUGGGCCUUACCUGACGCUCAGGUGCGAAAGCGAGGGGAGCGAACAGG